RNAcentral lists this unclassified non-coding RNA (83 nucleotides) under Rhizobium sp. RU36D. RNAcentral's name for it is "suhB". The stretch from base 1 to 74 matches the Rfam family "Alphaproteobacterial ar15", at positions 44 to 112 of the family's 112-position model. Lineage: Bacteria; Pseudomonadati; Pseudomonadota; Alphaproteobacteria; Hyphomicrobiales; Rhizobiaceae. The record is from RNAcentral.
AGCUGUUCCCCUCUGGAGGUUUAUUGACCUUCAUAACUUAUAUGGGCCCUGGAGCAAUCCGGUGGCCCUUUUUUUUGCCCGGU